RNAcentral lists this ribosomal RNA (253 nucleotides) under uncultured bacterium. RNAcentral's name for it is "partial 16S ribosomal RNA". It matches the Rfam family "Bacterial small subunit ribosomal RNA", at positions 524 to 776 of the family's 1533-position model. The record is from RNAcentral.
UACGUAGGGUGCAAGCGUUAAUCGGAAUUACUGGGCGUAAAGCGUGCGCAGGCGGUUCUGUAAGUCUGAUGUGAAAUCCCCGGGCUCAACCUGGGAAUUGCAUUGGAGACUGCAAGGCUAGAAUCUGGCAGAGGGGGGUAGAAUUCCACGUGUAGCAGUGAAAUGCGUAGAGAUGUGGAGGAACACCGAUGGCGAAGGCAGCCCCCUGGGUCAAGAUUGACGCUCAUGCACGAAAGCGUGGGGAGCAAACAGG